RNAcentral lists this ribosomal RNA (420 nucleotides) under uncultured bacterium. Its description in RNAcentral is "bacterial SSU rRNA". It matches the Rfam family "Bacterial small subunit ribosomal RNA", at positions 355 to 774 of the family's 1533-position model. The record is from RNAcentral.
UAAGGAAUAUUGCUCAAUGGGAGAAAUCCUGAAGCAGCAACGCCGCGUGGAGGAUGAAGGGUCUAUGACUUGUAAACUCCUGUAAAGAAGGAAAAAAUUCCCAUUAGAUGGAAGAUGAUGGUACUUCUGGAGUAAGCCCCGGCUAACUACGUGCCAGCAGCCGCGGUAAUACGUAGGGGGCAAGCGUUGUCCGGAUUUACUGGGUGUAAAGGGUGCUCAGGCGGAUUUGUAAGUCAGAGGUGAAAUCUUACAGCUUAACUGUGAAACUGCCUUUGAUACUGCAAGCCUAGAGUAUGGAAGAGAGUGAUGGAAUAUCUGGUGUAGCAGUGAAAUGCGUAGAUAUCAGAUAGAACACCAAUGGCGAAGGCAGUCACUUGGUCCAUUACUGACGCUAAAGCACGAAAGCGUGGGUAGCAAACA